RNAcentral lists this ribosomal RNA (459 nucleotides) under uncultured bacterium. RNAcentral describes it as "partial 16S ribosomal RNA". It matches the Rfam family "Bacterial small subunit ribosomal RNA", at positions 338 to 795 of the family's 1533-position model. The record is from RNAcentral.
CCUACGGGGGGCAGCAGUGAGGAAUAUUGGUCAAUGGCCGGGAGCCUGAACCAGCCAAGUCGCGUGAGGGAAGACGGCCCUACGGGUUGUAAACCUCUUUUGUCAGGGAGCAAGGUGCAGGUCGGGACCUGCUGUGAGAGUACCUUAAGAACAAGCAUCGGCUACCUCCGUGCCAGAAGCCGCGGUAAUCGGGAGGAGGCGAGCGUUAUCCGGAUUUAUUGGGUUUAAGGGGUGCGCAGGCGGAGGCACAGGUCAGCGGUAAAACCGCGGGGCUAAGCCCCGCUCCGCCGUUGAAACUGUGUGCCUUGAGUGCGCGAAGGGUAGGCGGAAUGCGUGGUGUAGCGGUGAAAUGCAUAGAUAUCACGCAGAACUCCGAUCGCGAAGGCAGCCUACCGGGGCGCAACUGACGCUCAUGCACGAAAGCGUGGGUAUCGAACAGGAUUAGAUACCCCAGUAGUC